RNAcentral lists this transfer RNA (72 nucleotides) under Bos taurus (domestic cattle). It matches the Rfam family "tRNA". Rfam says of the family: Transfer RNA (tRNA) molecules are approximately 80 nucleotides in length. Lineage: Eukaryota; Metazoa; Chordata; Mammalia; Artiodactyla; Bovidae. The record is from Rfam by way of RNAcentral. RNAcentral also lists the same sequence under 1 other name.
UCCGUGGUGGCUAAGAGGUUAAAGCGUCUGCCUCCAAUGCGGGAGACCCAGGUUCGAUCCCUGAGUUGGGAA